UAGUGGAAAAGUGAAGCAAACACUCCUAAAUAGAUUUACAACCUAUCGCCUACUUAAUAUCUCAGCCAUCCCACU
This 75-nucleotide transfer RNA is filed under the name Stylotermes sp. CN14. RNAcentral's name for it is "tRNA-Tyr". Lineage: Eukaryota; Metazoa; Arthropoda; Insecta; Blattodea; Stylotermitidae. The record is from RNAcentral.